CUUCCGUAGGGUAACCUGCGGAAGGAUCAUUACCGAGUGCGGGUCCUUUGGGCCCAACCUCCCAUCCGUGUCUAUUGUACCCUGUUGCUUCGGCGGGCCCGCCGCUUGUCGGCCGCCGGGGGGGCGCCUCUGCCCCCCGGGCCCGUGCCCGCCGGAGACCCCAACACGAACACUGUCUGAAAGCGUGCAGUCUGAGUUGAUUGAAUGCAAUCAGUUAAAACUUUCAACAAUGGAUCUCUUGGUUCCGGCAUCGAUGAAGAACGCAGCGAAAUGCGAUAACUAAUGUGAAUUGCAGAAUUCAGUGAAUCAUCGAGUCUUUGAACGCACAUUGCGCCCCCUGGUAUUCCGGGGGGCAUGCCUGUCCGAGCGUCAUUGCUGCCCUCAAGCCCGGCUUGUGUGUUGGGUCGCCGUCCCCCUCUCCGGGGGGACGGGCCCGAAAGGCAGCGGCGGCACCGCGUCCGAUCCUCGAGCGUAUGGGGCUUUGUCACAUGCUCUGUAGGAUUGGCCGGCGCCUGCCGACGUUUUCCAACCAUUCUUUCCAGGUUGACCUCGGAUCAGGUAGGGAUACCCGCUGAACUUAAGCAUAUCAAUAAUCGGAGGAA
RNAcentral lists this ribosomal RNA (602 nucleotides) under Aspergillus niger. RNAcentral's name for it is "eukaryotic LSU rRNA". The stretch from base 219 to 372 matches the Rfam family "5.8S ribosomal RNA". Lineage: Eukaryota; Fungi; Ascomycota; Eurotiomycetes; Eurotiales; Aspergillaceae. The record is from RNAcentral.